Molecule: transfer RNA, 72 nt
Filed under: Hazenia capsulata
Lineage: Eukaryota; Viridiplantae; Chlorophyta; Ulvophyceae; Ulotrichales; Hazeniaceae
Description: tRNA-Lys
Rfam family: tRNA
About the family: Transfer RNA (tRNA) molecules are approximately 80 nucleotides in length. Their secondary structure includes four short double-helical elements and three loops (D, anti-codon, and T loops).
Source: RNAcentral
GGGUUGGUAACUUAAUGGUAGAGUACUCGGCUUUUAAUCGAAUAGUUCUGGGUUCGAAUCCCAGCCAUCCCA